This is a long non-coding RNA of Ornithorhynchus anatinus (platypus), 1435 nucleotides long. RefSeq lists it as uncharacterized. The transcript has 4 exons. Lineage: Eukaryota; Metazoa; Chordata; Mammalia; Monotremata; Ornithorhynchidae. The record is from RefSeq and is a predicted model, not a curated record.
AAUUAGAACCCAUGACCUGUGACUCCCAAGCCCGGGCUCUUUCCACUAAGCCACGCUGCUUCUCUAGAGAGUUUCCGGUCCCCGCUAAUUUUCCCCAACGCUUUUUAUUUCUGUUCCUAAUCCCUUUAGACAGGUGCUCUGCCUAACACUGGUCAAACAUUCGACCACCCUUACAAGGAGCCAGUGGGGCCACCCUCAUCAACUGCACCACCCGGUCGCGUCAUGCCACCAACAUAGCACGACAUCAGCGGCUACCGAACAUGCAGCUUAAUGCAGUGACCUCAUAUGCGGUGAGCAAAAGUGACUCCAUUUGGUAACGCGGAAGCCAUCUUACGAGUGACCCUCAUCUGACCCCGCGAACAGCAACACAGAAGGAGGAAUUUGAGGAGGAACCGACAACGUAAAAGGAGGACCUUGAGGAGGCACUGGACCGUCUCGCAGUCGGCAGGAGAAAGACCGCCAGAGGUACGCGAGAUAAGCUGUCCUGCGAAAAACCAGCCCGCGGGGUGGGCGCGGGGGGAGAGGUAGCCAUCCCCCCCCCCCCCGGCUUUAUCUGGUAAUGGGUUUGAGACAGAAGCGGUGAAUCAGGACCUGCCACGACCCCCCGAAGCAACCUUGAGUGGGUAAAGCAGGGAAGAACCAGAUCCCCGCGGAGGGAUGGAACAGCCGAAACAGGCGGGUGGUACCGCCCAAGAAGGCGGCCGAACGACUGAAACAAGUCGGUUGCAGUGAGCCAAGAACCGGACCCUCGGCGCCGGCGGCAGAAGACUCCCUGAGACCCGUGACGAGACCCCUCCGGCACGGCCGCCGGGAUCCACCAAGGCUCGAGCCGGGACGACAUGCUGCACGUGGCCAGAUUCCUCCAUCUUCUUCAACGUGGGACCGUCUGCACCGACUUGGGGAAAAUAGUCAGGCAGCCUGUGUAGUUGCACUACAACGAUCUGAGGAGACCUAAAAUGAGGAGGAGGAGAAGGAGGGGAAAGAGGAGAGAAGGAAUACGAUGAGAAGCAGGAGAAGAAGGAAGAGAAGGAAGAGGUGCCUGGUGAGAUGCAAGCUGAUAUAUUUCAGAAGGCGGGAUCCCAUUGUCUGACCCAGAGAUUCAAACCAGGAAAACUAUCAUGGACUCGAUCCCCUACUUCUUCUCGCCAAAACAAGAAAAAGAUAAGUUAGCCAAAGAAACCACUAGGCAGGGCGCAAAGACAUUUUACUCAAAACUGCACACACUCUAUUAUUUCCCAACCUAACAUUUCUAUCUUGGAGCUUCAGCGGCUGUCAGAUAUAUCAUCAUUCCCAUCCUCGAAAGAAUGAGCUGGAGGACAUUUCCGAGGGUUCAUCGGUACCUAAAAGAGCUGUCUGCCAGGCUGCUUUAGCUUGAUUCUAUUUAUCGUGAUUAAGUUGUCUUGUUUUUGUCCCUCUGUGUCCCCCCCCAUUAGAC